AAAAAAAAAGAAGCAAAAUAAACUUGGGAACAAUAGCGAAAAUUUUUGUUAACUUGUCUCAAAUGAUCUCUUAAUUGAUGUUUUUAAACUCACUAUUGUUACUUUAGAUUGGAAAAAGGUUUUUUUCUACCAUUCACUUUACACAUCGAAUCGAAUACUACAUGAUUUCCUUAAGUAUAUUAGAUGAAAGGCAUAAAGAAAGUAAAGAAAUUAAUAAGAGAGAGAGAGAGUAUCGUUCGUUUCAUCUUUAGUUGUGUGACAUUCACGAUAUCUAUGAUAUUCUAUAGAUAAGCAGAAGCUAACAAAUGAAGCGCAGCUAUACCUAUACAUACGUUUGGACCUUUUUGCCCGAAAAUGAAAUGUUCUCGUUCAAAAACUUGUCAAUCUUUUUUCGUAUUUUUUUUUUUUUUUUUAAUUCAAUUUUGUACCAAUUACUCUACACUGCAAGUCGUAUCGUUUUGCAGACAAGUCUUCAAGUGGAGUUAGGAUUGCAUGGUGAAAGAGUGACUCUAGAGCGUUGCAAUUUUUUUUAUGUUUUUUAAAAAUCGUUUUUUUUUUUCUUUUCCAAUUACCUAAAAAUGUAUGCUUAUUAACUUCCUUGAAUAUUACGCUUCUAAUAGAUUUUCUUUCAUCUAAUAAAAAUUAAAGAAAGGUACGGCCUUUUUAGUCCGUUUUACAAUACGAAAAUAUAUGAUAGAUGGAAAGAUAUCCUCAUGGAAGCUCUGGUAGAGCCGAGAUAAGAAUGUAUCCGUCAUACUAAACCACCAUGUUCUAGUAAAGUCUAUCUAUAGUUUGACCCCUCAACACAAUAAUAGCUAAUUUCUUGCUAUUCUUUACCUGUUUCUAAAAAGGUUUCUUUGUAUCUAUAGCACCAAUGCUAUGGACUUUUAUCUCGAUUACUAUAUUUAUUGGAGAAUCAUUGGUUCUUCGGUUAUUAUUAGCCCAAUCUGCUUUAUUGCCUUUAUCUUUUUUGUUUUUUUUUUGGGUAGGGGAUCACACUCUCUAUUUUCAUUGCGUCAUUGUCUUUAGACGUAACGAAUAUCAUUUUAGAUUCGUAAGCUAUCGUUUAGUGAUUAUAUGACAAACAAUCAUGAUCUCGUCAUCUCAAUCCUGGUGCAUUUUUUUUUUUGUAUAGAAAUUUCCAGUUUUACUAAUUGUGCAAUUUAAUCCAAAAAAAAAAAAAAUAAAAAAUAAAAAAAUCUAGUAGCAAUAAAUAUAAAAACCGUUUAAAAAAUCGGUAUGCAAUGAAACAAAAUGCUAAUCGGCUAAUUGCCAAUGCGAAAAAAUGCAAAAAGUUAUACAAUUUUUAUUCAUAUGCCUAAAGUGAUGUCUAUCUAAGCUUCACUUUAAAAUGAACAUAAUUUUUUCUUUUGUUUUUUUUUUUUCUUUUCUUUCAUUAAUCAUUAAAGUUUGAGUGAGAACUGAAUGAACAUAAUUGCUGCUGAAUUUUAUAUAAAACUAAAUUUUUGAAAGUACAAUACAAUAUAGAAGAGCAAAGAGCUCAAAUACCUAUUAUGUUAGGUGAGGAGAGCACAUAAAAAAACAAAAAAAUUAUGCUAACUGGGGGACGAGGGAAAAGGAUGGUUGGCAAUAGCACUAAAAACAGAAAACAUUAAAAAAAAAAAAAAA
This is a long non-coding RNA of Glossina fuscipes, 1629 nucleotides long. RefSeq lists it as uncharacterized. The record is from RefSeq and is a predicted model, not a curated record. Lineage: Eukaryota; Metazoa; Arthropoda; Insecta; Diptera; Glossinidae. The transcript has 2 exons.